AUUGAACGCUGGCGGCAGGCCUAACACAUGCAAGUCGAGCGGAUGAAGGGAGCUUGCUCCUGGAUUCAGCGGCGGACGGGUGAGUAAUGCCUAGGAAUCUGCCUGGUAGUGGGGGAUAACGUCCGGAAACGGGCGCUAAUACCGCAUACGUCCUGAGGGAGAAAGUGGGGGAUCUUCGGACCUCACGCUAUCAGAUGAGCCUAGGUCGGAUUAGCUAGUUGGUGGGGUAAAGGCCUACCAAGGCGACGAUCCGUAACUGGUCUGAGAGGAUGAUCAGUCACACUGGAACUGAGACACGGUCCAGACUCCUACGGGAGGCAGCAGUGGGGAAUAUUGGACAGUGGGCGAAAGCCUGAUCCAGCCAUGCCGCGUGUGUGAAGAAGAUCUUCGGAUUGUAAAGCACUUUAAGUUGGGAGGAAGGGCAGUAAGUUAAUACCUUGCUGUUUUGACGUUACCAACAGAAUAAGCACCGGCUAACUUCGUG
RNAcentral lists this ribosomal RNA (484 nucleotides) under uncultured bacterium. RNAcentral describes it as "partial 16S ribosomal RNA". It matches the Rfam family "Bacterial small subunit ribosomal RNA", at positions 30 to 507 of the family's 1533-position model. The record is from RNAcentral.